RNAcentral lists this ribosomal RNA (570 nucleotides) under Hamptophryne boliviana. RNAcentral describes it as "partial 16S ribosomal RNA". It matches the Rfam family "Bacterial large subunit ribosomal RNA", at positions 1809 to 2609 of the family's 2925-position model. Lineage: Eukaryota; Metazoa; Chordata; Amphibia; Anura; Microhylidae. The record is from RNAcentral.
AAAAACAUCGCCUCCUGAAAAAAUAGGAGGUCCAGCCUGCCCAGUGACCAAGUUAAACGGCCGCGGUACCCUAACCGUGCGAAGGUAGCGCAAUCACUUGUUCUUUAAAUGAGGACUAGUAUGAACGGCAUCACGAGGGUCUCACUGUCUCCCCCCUCUAAUCAGUGAAACUGAUCUCCCCGUGAAGAAGCGGGGAUAAACCUAUAAGACGAGAAGACCCCAUGGAGCUUUAAACUCAAUUUCAACUACCAUCUAUAAACCACAAAAAACAGGUAGCCAUGACUAUUAGUUUUCGGUUGGGGUGACCACGGAGCAAAAUACAACCUCCAUGAUGAAUGACUCUUUACCUCUAAUCAUAGAGUAACAACUCAAAGAAUCAAUAAAUUGACCCACUUGACCCAAAUUUUUGAUCAACGAACCAAGUUACCCUGGGGAUAACAGCGCAAUCCAUUUCAAGAGCCCCUAUCGACAAAUGGGUUUACGACCUCGAUGUUGGAUCAGGGUAUCCUAGUGGUGCAGCCGCUACUAAAGGUUCGUUUGUUCAACGAUUAAAACCCUACGUGAUCUGAG